ACCUUAGAGACCAACUAAGUUUGUUCUGGGUAUAAGCUUUCGUGUGCAUGCAUACUUCUUCAGAUACACACACGAAAGCUUAUACCCAGAACAAACUUAGCUGGUCUCUAAGGU
Molecule: non-coding RNA, 114 nt
Organism: Podarcis lilfordi (Lilford's wall lizard)
Lineage: Eukaryota; Metazoa; Chordata; Lepidosauria; Squamata; Lacertidae
Source: the annotation of a GenBank genome assembly